CCUACGGGAGGCAGCAGUAGGGAAUAUUGCUCAAUGGGGGAAACCCUGAUGCAGCAACGCCGCGUGGAGGAUGAAGGUUUUAGGAUUGUAAACUCCUUUUGUUAGAGAAGAUUAUGACGGUAUCUAACGAAUAAGCACCGGCUAACUCCGUGCCAGCAGCCGCGGUAAUACGGAGGGUGCAAGCGUUACUCGGAAUCACUGGGCGUAAAGAGUGCGUAGGCGGGGUAAUAAGUCAGAUGUGAAAUCCUGUAGCUUAACUACAGAACUGCAUUUGAAACUGUUACUCUGGAGUGUGGGAGAGGUAGGUGGAAUUCUUGGUGUAGGGGUAAAAUGCGUAGAGAUCAAGAGGAAUACUCAUUGCGAAGGCGACCUGCUGGAACAUUACUGACGCUGAUGCACGAAGGCGUGGGGAGCAAACAGGAUUAGAUACCCGAGUAGUC
This 440-nucleotide ribosomal RNA is filed under the name uncultured bacterium. RNAcentral describes it as "partial 16S ribosomal RNA". It matches the Rfam family "Bacterial small subunit ribosomal RNA", at positions 338 to 795 of the family's 1533-position model. The record is from RNAcentral.